AACAGGAUUAGAUACCCUGGUAGUCCACGCCCUAAACGAUGUCAACUAGCUGUUGGGGCCUUCGGGCCUUGGUAGCGCAGCUAACGCGUGAAGUUGACCGCCUGGGGAGUACGGUCGCAAGAUUAAAACUCAAAGGAAUUGACGGGGACCCGCACAAGCGGUGGAUGAUGUGGAUUAAUUCGAUGCAACGCGAAAAACCUUACCUACCCUUGACAUGUCUGGAAUUCCGAAGAGAUUUGGAAGUGCUCGCAAGAGAACCGGAACACAGGUGCUGCAUGGCUGUCGUCAGCUCGUGUCGUGAGAUGUUGGGUUUAGUCCCGCAACGAGCGCAACCCUUGUCAUUAGUUGCUACGAAAGGGCACUCUAAUGAGACUGCCGGUGACAAACCGGAGGAAGGUGGGGAUGACGUCAAGUCCUCAUGGCCCUUAUGGGUAGGGCUUCACACGUCAUACAAUGGUCGGGACAGAGGGUCGCCAACCCGCGAGGGGGAGCCAAUCCCAGAAACCCGAUCGUAGUCCGGAUCGCAGUCUGCAACUCGACUGCGUGAAGUCGGAAUCGCUAGUAAUCGCGGAUCAGCAUGUCGCGGUGAAUACGUUCCCGGGUCUUGUACACACCGCCCGUCACACCAUGGGAGUGGGCUUUACCAGAAGUAGUUAGCCUAACCGUAAGGGGGGCGAUUACCACGGUAGGAUUCAUGACUGGGGUGAAGUCGUAACAAGGUAACC
This 725-nucleotide ribosomal RNA is filed under the name uncultured bacterium. RNAcentral describes it as "bacterial SSU rRNA". It matches the Rfam family "Bacterial small subunit ribosomal RNA", at positions 771 to 1501 of the family's 1533-position model. The record is from RNAcentral.